RNAcentral lists this non-coding RNA (224 nucleotides) under Streptomyces subrutilus. Lineage: Bacteria; Bacillati; Actinomycetota; Actinomycetes; Kitasatosporales; Streptomycetaceae. The record is from RNAcentral.
CUAGGGUCAGCGGGCCUUGGUGUUCGGGAAACCGGUGUGAAACCGGUGCGGCCCUCGCCACUGUGAUCGGGGAAGUCCGGCUCCACUCUCCCCCUGCCUCCGUCGGGGGGACCCCAGCGGGAAGCCACUGGGACACCGUGCGGGAUACCGCACGGCCCCGGGAAGGCGGAGCCCGGGCAUCAUCACCCGUGAGCCAGGAGACCGGCCGGGGCGCGUUGUCCAUC